This is an RNA transcript of Rhopalosiphum maidis (corn leaf aphid), 4262 nucleotides long. It is a transcript of the gene named sterile alpha and TIR motif-containing protein 1-like, with no coding region annotated. The transcript is spliced from 13 exons. The record is from RefSeq and is a predicted model, not a curated record. Lineage: Eukaryota; Metazoa; Arthropoda; Insecta; Hemiptera; Aphididae.
GAAACGCGUCGGUCUCGGUGUUUGUAGUAGUCGUCAAGUGUGCGCUCGUCGUACUUAAUAAGUGUUGUCGCUGACGCCGAGCGCUUCCGAUUUCCUUCACCGUCUGACCAAUAUUUAGGCUCACUAUUCGGUUUUUUUUUUAUUAGUAAUCUUCGUCUUAAAUUAGAGGUGAAACAAAUAAAAAGUCAGUUAGGUGAUUUUCAUCUUCGACUGAAGUUUUUUGCCCUCUCCCCCUUUCAUCAUCAAAGACGUUGAUUACCGAAUUAACGCGUGUCGCAUUCGUCAUAUACGCGUACAUGUAUGCGAAAACUCAUACUUUCGGAACGUCUCAAGCCACCACGGGCAUGCCGUCGCAGCCACCACUCAUCCGUCCCAGAUUGUUCGGGAACAAAAAGAUGGCGGGGUUUCUGCAGGAUUCUGAAGGUUCAGACUUACACGACAUGAGUUCGGUAAUCGAGGGUUUUCAGAAGAAGAACAGCGUCGGGUCUAUGGGAUCAACGACGGCGAUGGCCACGACCGCCGGCAACCAUAUGGCGUCGUCGAAGAAGAACACGUCGUCGUCGUCGUCUUCGAGUUCACGGAUGGAGUCGUCGUCGUCCACAUCGUCUACGUCAUCCUCUUUGAAGCACGUCCUGCACCGACAGGUGUCUGAAAUGACGACCACGUCAUCUGAACUUCAAAACUCUCAGCUGCUUCAGCAGCGGAUACUCAUGGACAGCGGUGACGUUUCCGCGGUCAACACCACGACCACCGAUGACGUGGAUUGCAACCUCGUCGACGGUACAGACCCGCUGGUCACGUUUCCCGAGUCACCUCCUGUUUUGGUGUCCAACGUGUCGCCACUCAUGCAUGUCUCCACCACCCGCCCCAAACCGGUUCGUGUGGCCGUGGACGGACGACUGAAACACCCGGCUGCGACCACAGCGGCGACCACCGAGCGGCGCGUGUCCACGUCCAAAUUGGUCCAAGAGGCAUAUGAGUCGUCGUCGUCGUCGUCGUCAAGCAGCAGCACCAGCAGCACAGUUUCCGAUUCGCAGGACGUGCUGAACGGUGACGUCCACAAACUACAUGCGGCCAAUACGAUCCGAGCAAAGCUCGCCGGAACUAUCGGAAGUACCAUUGCCGACCACGACACCGAGACCGCUCUGAACAAACUCCAGGAAAAAAUAUUAUUGAAAACUGGAGAACUAUCUCAACAGGAAAACCAAAACAUCAGUGCUGCCACGAUGAAAGUGCAGACCGAUUCGUUUAGUUCGGAAAAGAAAGCUUCAAGCGCACAACAACAAAGACAAACAAUAACGUCCUCAGGAAUGUUCAACCAAGAAAAACAUAUAGCUCAGUCAUCACAAUCGAACUUUACGUUCACUAAAAAAGGCAUUUGUACGAGUUCAAAAGCCGUGUCAUCUGCUACUUCACAAUCUUCUCACAACGGGUCCUCUUCUGGUGGCAGUGGUUCAUCGCCUCCAUCGACACACGUGAUUAGAAGUGUUGACGAUCUGUUAAACACUAAUUUUGAUGAUCUAGACCAGAUGCGAGAAAUAGCCAACACUCAAGAUGUGGAAAACGCCAUAAAAAAGUAUUCGCUGUACCUGGAAAACGCUGUAAAGGGACUGAUGAGUGGAAAAUAUGCAGAUGCCAAAGGCCCGAUAAUGCUCAACAAAAUGUUCGAUAUGAUUUGCAAGGCGUGGGCCGUGCCGACCUACGAGCUUGGGUACGCGUUAUGUAACACAUUCCGGGAUUGUGGUGGUAUGGAUUUGUUGAUCAACAAUUGUGUGUCUAAAGACCAAAAACUCCAGUUCUCCAGUGCCAGAUUACUGGAACAAUGUUUGACUACUGAAAAUCGCUCAUACGUAGUGGAAAACGGGCUGGAAAAAGUCGUACAUGUAGUGUGUGCAUACAAGAGUCAAGUAAGCUCGGCCGAUCAAUCUAAAGUCAGUACUGGAAUUCUUGAGCACCUAUUUAAACACAGUGAAAUGACAUGCAGCGAUGUUAUCAAACUCGGUGGCUUGGACGUAUUGCUGUACGAGUGUCGCAGACGAGACAUCGCUACCCUGAGACACUGUGCCGGUGCUCUAGCCAACCUUUCGCUAUAUGGAGGUGCUGAGAAUCAAGAACUGAUGAUCAAACGUAACGUGCCUACAUGGUUGUUCACGUUGGCGUUCAAUACGGACGAUAACAUCAAGUAUUACGCGUUUUUGGCUAUAGCUGUUUUGGUAGCCAACAAAGAAAUUGAAGCGGCCGUGCUCAAGUCUGAAACUCUGGACCUAAUCGACCCGUUCGUCACCACCCACACACCGUCGGAAUUCGCCAAGUCGAAUCUAGCCCACGCCCACGGCCAGAGUCACCAUUGGCUAGAGAGGUUGGUCCCUGUUUUGAGCUCAAUCCGGGAGGAAGCAUGCAACUUGGCCGCUUUCCACUUUUGCAUGGAGGCUGGCAUCAAAAAGCAACAAGGCAAGACCAGUAUAUUUAACGUGAUUAAUGCUGUUGAACCACUGAAAAAAGUGGCCAGUUGUCCUAACGCCAUAGCAUCCAAAUUUGCUGCCCAAGCACUGCGACUGAUCGGCGAAGAAGUACCGCAUAAACUCAGUCAAAAAGUACCAUUGUGGUCACCCGAAGACGUUCAAGAAUGGGUCAGACAGAUCGGAUUCAGCGAAUGCUCUAAAAACUUCGUGGAUAGCCGAGUAGAUGGUGACCUGUUGUUGCAGUUGACCGAGCAAAAUUUGAGGGACGACAUCGGAAUACAUAACGGAAUCAUGCGAAGAAGGUUUAUGAGAGAAAUACACAAUUUGAAACGAUUGGCGGAUUACAGUAGUAGAGACACAACAAAUUUGAACUCGUUCCUCCAGUCCAUAGGUCCAGAGUUCUCCGUGUACACUUAUUCUAUGUUAAAUGCUGGCGUUGAUAGAGAUUCCAUAAGAUUCUUAUCAGAAGACCAGCUCAUACAAGAGUGUGGAAUAUCAAAUAGCAUUCACCGGUAUAGAAUACUAGACUCGAUAAGAGACAUGGAGACGUUAAUAGAUACAUCCUCUUACGAAGAAAACAUGAAUAAGAACUUAGACGUAUUUAUCAGUUACAGAAGAUCGACUGGAUCUCAAUUAGCUAGUUUACUCAAAGUACAUCUACAACUUCGAGGAUACUCAGUAUUCAUCGACGUCGAACGUCUGGAAGCCGGCAAGUUCGACAACAAUCUAUUGCAGAGUAUUAAGCAGGCGAAAAACUUCAUAUUAGUACUGACACCAAAGUCUUUGGAUAGAUGUAUAGGCGAUAACGAAUGCAAAGACUGGGUGCACAAGGAAAUUGUGGCUGCUAUACAGGACCAGUGCAACAUCAUUCCGAUCAUGGACAACUUCGCAUGGCCUGAACCAGAAACCUUGCCGGAGGACAUGCAAAACGUGUGGAAGUUCAACGGCGUGCGAUGGAUACACGACUACCAGGAUGCGUGCGUGGAGAAGGUGGAACGGUUCAUGCGCGGUGAGCUGAAUGGGAUCCGGGAUGGUGCCAGUUCGGGACUGUCGCUGAAUCGAUCCGGCGGCGUCGGCGGUGGCAUCGGCACAUCCACCAUCAAGAGUGACCCGUCGGCGCCGAAUACGCCGCUGACCGUGGGCAGAUCACCGCCAACAUACCAGCGGACUCAGUCUAACGACAGUGAACGCGACUUGACCGGUAGCAAAGAUUGACUAGCGGGGAACACUUCCAGGUAUGGGACAGUGACCAACGUUUUGCUUUCCCGCCCGAACCGGUUACUACGUUUUGUGUCCGUCUGCUUGUUGUCGUCCACCCUGCAGCGGCCUCCGAUGACUUCACGGUUAGAUACCGGAAGUGUUCGAGAUUACCUGCUUGGAGGCCACCAAUGAGUCCAAAUGGUCGUGGAAAGUGUCGAAAACGAGCCAAAAGCGUGGAAGGUCUAUUGGAGACCACCGUCGAAUUGGAUUCACAAGUACAGGUACAGGCUCAAAUGAAAAAGGCAAAAAGCCUGGAAGAGUACUUGGACACGUGCGAAGAAGACGUCGAAGACAGCAAUAGCGUCUCGGCGUCGGUCAGCGACAGUGUAAAGAAGAAAAACUUUGUCGAUAAGUGUAUAAACAAAAUGAAAUCUUUUAUAACGACCACCAAAAAGACUUCAACGGACUCGAAAUAAUGAAUAGAUUUAUUGUAUUAUAGUGUAUACAUUUUUUUUAUGUACCUAUAUUAUAUAAUUUUCGUUUUUAAAUUUUUUUAAAUCUUAUGUUGACUCAAUAUUUAUAUAUUUUUGUAAACCUAUA